RNAcentral lists this ribosomal RNA (433 nucleotides) under uncultured bacterium. RNAcentral describes it as "partial 16S ribosomal RNA". It matches the Rfam family "Bacterial small subunit ribosomal RNA", at positions 29 to 507 of the family's 1533-position model. The record is from RNAcentral.
AACGAACGCUGGCGGCAUGCCUAACACAUGCAAGUCGAACGAGACCUUCGGGUCUAGUGGCGCACGGGUGCGUAACGCGUGGGAACCUGCCCUUAGGUUCGGAAUAACUCCCCGAAAGGGGUGCUAAUACCGGAUAAUGUCCUCGGACCAAAGAUUUAUCGCCUUUGGAUGGGCCCGCGUUGGAUUAGCUAGUUGGUAGGGUAAAGGCCUACCAAGGCGACGAUCCAUAGCUGGUCUGAGAGGAUGAUCAGCCACACUGGGACUGAGACACGGCCCAGACUCCUACGGGAGGCAGCAGUGGGGAAUAUUGGACAAUGGGCGAAAGCCUGAUCCAGCAAUGCCGCGUGAGUGAUGAAGGCCUUAGGGUUGUAAAGCUCUUUUACCCGGGAUGAUAAUGACAGUACCGGGAGAAUAAGCUCCGGCUAACUCCGUG